RNAcentral lists this transfer RNA (73 nucleotides) under Haptophyceae sp. NIES-3900. RNAcentral describes it as "tRNA-His". It matches the Rfam family "tRNA". Rfam says of the family: Transfer RNA (tRNA) molecules are approximately 80 nucleotides in length. Their secondary structure includes four short double-helical elements and three loops (D, anti-codon, and T loops). Lineage: Eukaryota; Haptophyta. The record is from RNAcentral.
GGCAUCUAUAGCUUAAUUGGUAGAGCGUCGGUUUGUGACAUCGUUUGCAUGGGUUCAAUUCCCGUUAGUUGCC